Molecule: ribosomal RNA, 253 nt
Filed under: uncultured bacterium
Lineage: Bacteria
Description: partial 16S ribosomal RNA
Rfam family: Bacterial small subunit ribosomal RNA
Source: RNAcentral
UACGAAGGUGGCAAGCGUUGUUCGGAUUUACUGGGCGUACAGGGAGCGUAGGCGGUUGGAUAAGCCCUCCGUGAAAUCUCCAGGCUUAGCCUGGAAAGUGCAGAGGGGACUGUUCAGCUAGAGGAUGGGAGAGGAGCGCGGAAUUCCCGGUGUAGCGGUGAAAUGCGUAGAGAUGUGGAGGAACACCGAUGGCGAAGGCAGCCCCCUGGGCUAACACUGACGCUCAUGCACGAAAGCGUGGGGAGCAAACAGG